This 492-nucleotide ribosomal RNA is filed under the name uncultured bacterium. RNAcentral describes it as "partial 16S ribosomal RNA". It matches the Rfam family "Bacterial small subunit ribosomal RNA", at positions 29 to 507 of the family's 1533-position model. The record is from RNAcentral.
AGUGAACGCUGGCGGUAGGCCUAACACAUGCAAGUCGAACGGCAGCACAGUAAGAGCUUGCUCUUACGGGUGGCGAGUGGCGGACGGGUGAGGAAUACAUCGGAAUCUACUUUUUCGUGGGGGAUAAGGAGGGGAAACUAACGUAAAUCCGCCAACGGCCUUACGGGUGAAGGAAGGGGUUCUUGGAACUUGGCGGGUUUGAAUAGGCCGAUGUCGGAUUAGCUAGUUGGCGGGGUAAAGGCCCACCAAGGCGACGAUCCGUAGCUGGUCUGAGAGGAUGAUCAGCCACACUGGAACUGAGACACGGUCCAGACUCCUACGGGAGGCAGCAGUGGGGAAUAUUGGACAAUGGGCGCAAGCCUGAUCCAGCCAUACCGCGUGGGUGAAGAAGGCCUUCGGGUUGUAAAGCCCUUUUGUUGGGAAAGAAAAGCAGCAGGUUAAUACCCCGCUGUUCUGACGGUACCCAAAGAAUAAGCACCGGCUAACUUCGUG